This 431-nucleotide unclassified non-coding RNA is filed under the name soil metagenome. RNAcentral describes it as "partial contains 5.8S ribosomal RNA, internal transcribed spacer 2, and large subunit ribosomal RNA". The stretch from base 1 to 120 matches the Rfam family "5.8S ribosomal RNA", at positions 35 to 154 of the family's 154-position model. The record is from RNAcentral.
GAUGAAGAACGCAGCGAAAUGCGAUACGUAAUGUGAAUUGCAGAAUUCAGUGAAUCAUCGAAUCUUUGAACGCAUAUUGCGCUCUCUGGUAUUCCGGAGAGCAUGCUUGUUUGAGUAUCAGUAAACACCUCAACUUCCAUAUCUUUUUUGAAAUGGGAGUUGGACUUGAGUGAUCCCAACGCUUUUCCUCACCGAAAAGUGGCGGGUUACUUGAAAUGCAGGUGCAGCUGGACUUUUCUCUGAGCUAUAAGCAUAUCUAUUUAGUCUGCCUAAAAAACAGAUUAUUACCUUUGCUGCAGCUAACAUAAAGGAGAUUGUUCUUGUGCUGACUGAUGCAGGAUUCACAAAGACGGCUUCGGCCGACUUUGUAAACUCGAUCUCAAAUCAAGUAAGACUACCCGCUGAACUUAAGCAUAUCAAUAAGCGGAGGA